Molecule: ribosomal RNA, 487 nt
Filed under: uncultured bacterium
Lineage: Bacteria
Description: bacterial SSU rRNA
Rfam family: Bacterial small subunit ribosomal RNA
Source: RNAcentral
GAUGAACGCUAGCGGGAGGCUUAACACAUGCAAGUCGAGGGGCAGCAUAGGGUAGCAAUACUCUGAUGGCGACCGGCAAACGGGUGAGUAACGCGUAUGCAACCUACCCUGUACAGGGGGAUAACCCGGAGAAAUUCGGACUAAUAUCCCGUAAUAAUAUCCGGAGGCGUCUUUGGAUAUUUAAAGUUCCGACGGUACGGGAUGGGCAUGCGUAACAUUAACUGGUUGGUAAGGUAACGGCUUACCAAGGCUAUGAUGUUUAGGGGUCCUGAGAGGGUGGUCCCCCACACUGGUACUGAGACACGGACCAGACUCCUACGGGAGGCAGCAGUGAGGAAUAUUGGUCAAUGGGCGCAAGCCUGAACCAGCCAUCCCGCGUGCAGGAAGACGGCCCUAUGGGUUGUAAACUGCUUUUCCAGGGAGAGAAACUUACGCACGUGUUGCGUGACUGACGGUACCCUGGGAAUAAGCAUCGGCUAACUCCGUG